AAGAGGAUGGUGCAAAGGUAGCACGCUGGUCUCCGAAGCCAGAAAUGGGAGUUCAAUUCUCCCUCUUCUUG
Molecule: transfer RNA, 71 nt
Filed under: Candidatus Peribacteria bacterium
Lineage: Bacteria; Candidatus Peregrinibacteriota; Candidatus Peribacteria
Description: tRNA-Arg
Rfam family: tRNA
About the family: Transfer RNA (tRNA) molecules are approximately 80 nucleotides in length. Their secondary structure includes four short double-helical elements and three loops (D, anti-codon, and T loops).
Source: RNAcentral